This is a long non-coding RNA of Bactrocera dorsalis (oriental fruit fly), 1682 nucleotides long. RefSeq lists it as uncharacterized. The record is from RefSeq and is a predicted model, not a curated record. Lineage: Eukaryota; Metazoa; Arthropoda; Insecta; Diptera; Tephritidae. The transcript is spliced from 3 exons.
CUUAUUCUUACCAACCAAAAAUAAGAGAAGAGUUAUUAUUUUUAUAUUUUUAAUUGCGUACUAUUUUUAGUCGCAUUCCGUUGCAUUUUUAUUUGCAUAUAAUUGUCAGUUUCAGCUUUAAUUUUUAUUGUGGAAAGCAAAGGCUUUGACUGCCUGCAUUUCAUUCAUUUAUUUGCCUAAUUGAGUUAUAAAAUCUUAGCGCCGAUAAAAAGCUUGCGCGCACUGUAAAAAUUAUAUUUUCAUAUGUAAAUAAAAAGCAUGUAUGUAAUACAUACAUAAAUACGUGUGUAUGGAUGUAUGUAUGUAUGCGUGAAUUCAGCAAGUAUGAAACCGCGGUUUUAUUAAUUUUACCUUGGUUCAAUUCGUUUGUACUUUGUCUCGCAAUGGACGUUUGCUUUGUUCACUGGGCGAAUUCGCCCAACACACACGCGUUUAGAUACCAUUAUUAAUUACAAAUGUACCUACAUACACACAUAUAUACAUAUGUACAUAUGGAAACGUAGUUCAUGCGAUUCAAAACAUACAAAUUAAAUAAAAAAAACGUCUCCGCACAAACAGUGACACCAUCUGCGUUGGAAUUUUUGCUCGCCUGCAAUUUAAUAAACUACAAAGCGAUAAUUUCAUUCUGUAUUAACCCGCUAAGCGGCAGUGCGCUGUUUCAGAACACGCAUCAAAUUUGCAAGGCCGACUCAAUUACCUGCCGUCUUUGAGACGAUAGUUCCAUACGAUAGACUCGCUAGCCAGAUCUGCGAGCUACUAUGUUCUAGAAAGUUCAAAUUAAGACAGCUACGAGACUCUGUUAACAGACGCGCAUGCAAAGGCACUAUAAUACAUACAGGUACAUACGUUUGUAUGUAUAGCUGUAGCUUUACGGAUUCCAACCCCUGCUGGGUGUUGUUGCAAAAACUUUCCAUAACUUUCGAUCCAACAGUUUGUUGUUUCUUAGGGGUAGUUUAACAACUCCGAAAAUCUGGCAUGUGUAAACAGUUUUUUGUAUGUUUUCUUGCUGGGUUGCCACAGCAACGAAGGGGUUAAUACACCCAGCGCAAAUUGCACUGAAACCGAAUGGAAAAUUCCACUGCUUAUAAUACGUUUUGUUUAGCUAUAGUUCUGUGCUGUUUUCGCUCUGCUUUUUGCCAUUGUGCGGCCAUAUGAACACCUCAGCCAACAAGCGAUUUUAGUAUUUCCCAUUUUUGUUGAGUGCACUGCGGGCAGUGCAGUAAAAGCAAAAUAGCAAUUUCGUGCAACGGCGAAUAGAAUAACGGCUACAAUAACAAAAGCAAAAAGGUGGAAAAAUAUAGAGCUGAACGAGGCAUUUCAACAUUCUGUCACACUGUAAAUAUAUCGAGUAUGACGACAAUUGACACUUUAAUUCAGAGAAAAUAUGUCAGUCUUGAGUCAUACAAAACACAGGGAAAGAUGCUGUUUUAAUUAUAACUAAACCGCGGCUUUCUUUGUAUGCAUGUGACCAGCGUGAGAAAUACUCAUGUAAAUGCAAACUCAUGUACGCAUACAUGUGAUAUAGAACAAAUUUUGCCUGUCCUUCCCUCACGGAACUAACCCAAUCACUUAAUCAUCAAUUGUCAAGUGUAUAUACAUACGAAAUAUUUAUUUUAUUACGGCGACAGUUUGAACAAACCACUUGACAAUUGAUGAUUAAUUAGAUGAGCACAUAAACAUAC